GGAACAGCUCAAGCUCCGGCUUGAGCUGUUGACGGCAGCUUUUAGAAACGACGACGUUGCCCAGGCUGGGGAGGAGCAGAGGGAACAGGAGGAGGAAACGACAGUACAGAGAGAUGUUGCUGAUGGAGAGAUGAGUGAUGGGACGGAGCAGCAACAAACUUUAAGUUAGAUUUUUUAUUUUAUUUUUUUAUUUAUAAAGUUG
Perca fluviatilis (European perch) is the source of this 202-nucleotide long non-coding RNA. RefSeq lists it as uncharacterized. The transcript has 3 exons. The record is from RefSeq and is a predicted model, not a curated record. Lineage: Eukaryota; Metazoa; Chordata; Actinopteri; Perciformes; Percidae.